Molecule: ribosomal RNA, 116 nt
Filed under: Desulfoluna butyratoxydans
Lineage: Bacteria; Pseudomonadati; Thermodesulfobacteriota; Desulfobacteria; Desulfobacterales; Desulfolunaceae
Also listed under: 1 other name
Source: RNAcentral
CGGUGGUGAUUGCGACAAGGUCACACCCGUUCCCAUCCCGAACACGGAAGUUAAGCUUGUCUGCGCCGAUGGUACUGCACGGGCAGCUGUGUGGGAGAGUAGGUCGCCGCCGGAUU